GCAAGAUUAAGUAAUAGGUUCUUGCUCACAUUAUUGCUCAAGAACAUCAAACGUGAUGGAUUGAUUUGAUAUAACAUGUAUGCCCUUGGCUCCUAUCAUCUUUAGGCUUUUGCUUUUCUUACGUAUCAAAUAAUUUUAUUGUGGUGCUGUGUCUAUUGUUUCUAACACAAAUGCCAGGAACCACUUCAGUAAAAUAUUUGAUUGUGAUUUUAAUGGAGAGUUUAUAUAAUGAUCAAGAGUAACACAUGCAAGCCGGCCAAACAUCGUCCAGAAAUCAGGGACUUCAAAGAGUCUUCCUUUUAGAACUCUAAAGGAACUGAAAUUUAUGUUUUUCCAUAUCGUCCAGCUUACUCAUUGGCAAUAAGUAACUGUUGGCAAGAAGCACGCAUCACAUGGUCCCGUUCCUGCCUCAGAAAGGUCAGCAGGAGGCCUGGACACUGGCCUGUGCUCAGCUGUGUGCCCUGGUCCUACGACACGUGGUUCAGAGUGCGUUUCGCAAUGUUACGUGGCUGAUUAAUGGUCACUUGCACAAGAAGUUUUUCAUUACCCUUACUGCAAACAUCCUGGGAAUGAUUAACUUUGUGACAUAACUCUCAUCACACAAAGAUGAGAGAUUCGAACAGAGCUUCAAAAUUAUGUACUUCAGAAAUAACCAAAUGUGUUUGGGCUUCUUAAUGUGUGCGGGAUUAACAACUGUUUUAAAGCCAAUUUUCGAAUCUUAUCAAUCGAGUGUGGUAUGAAAUGCUGGAAGCAUGUAGACCCUGCAUUGUGAGUAGAAGAAACUCGACCUAAGCACCUCAGGAGAAAGAAGAUGGUAAAAGCCCAGUCACACUCAUGCUGGGCUCCUCAAGGCAUCUCCGUGCUCACACUCAGAGAAGCGGGAGCCCUGCUUCCUGCCGCGGGCGCAGUCCUGCCAGCCGCUGCCCCAAGCCGAUCCGGCCACACCAGUGGGCUUUUCCUGAACGGCAUGGCCCGUUUCCGAAACGCAGCGUCUAAGGAAGAGAACACUUGGCUUGCUUUCUCCUGAACAGUCUCUGUGACAGCCCGGUGAGUGUGAGCAGUCAGCCUGCGGCUGCACGUUCUCCUCGCAGAGCACAGAGAAGGGCGGAGGGGGACCAUCGGCCUCCUCCCCCUAGGCCCUGCACUCGCGCUCCUCCUUCCAAGAACAGGCUCCGUAAAACCUCCUUUGUUGGUGCUCUCGAUUGCUCCACGUGACGGCAGUGGCGCACAGCAGUACUGCUGUCACUCUCCUUCCGCUUCUCUGGGAAAGCUUUGAUGUUCUCUGCUCGGCCUCCGUGCUGGGGCAGCGUGUGCUUGCAAGCCAGAGGCGCCUCGGACCCUGGUGCCUUCUCCCGUCAGGUGGUUGAACACUGGAUUGAACCAGCUCCCGGGGACCUGCUGUGCCUGCGCGCCAGCCCCUCCAGGGAGCGGCCAGCACCCUGCUCCGUGCUGCGCGGGAGCUGACGCCGCUGCUUCCUGGAGCCGACGCGCCCGGGCUGCGCUGGCGUUCCAGAGCUCCUCUGCGGGUCACAAACCCCGGGUCGUAAUUGCACUUAGCGUUUUUUUCCUAGCGCUGGCUUCCCGAAGAAGGACGUUUUGUGUAUUGGGUGUGUGUUUGAGAUCUCCUUUUGGCAAUUAUUUUGGAAAUGUUCAGAGGCCAAAAAUAGUGACAAGCUAGGCUUCCUUGCUGGCUCCGUGUGGUCCCGAGGGCUGUGGCACACGGGGCUCUGCUGAGAAGCGAGACUGACCACCACGCGCAGCGCUCCCGAGACCCUGCCCGGCACUGCCCUGCGAGGAGGUGCUGGCAGGGACAGCAAUCAUCUAGGCUGUAAAACCCUAAUGCCCAUCGCUAGCAGCUUAAUCUACACGCCUCCUUGCAGAAGUCUUUUGACCUGUACGGGAAAAAUGGUAUUUAAAAUCUGGGUUAGUCAAGAGGGUGGAGUGAGCUAAGUUUAGUGGAGGCUAAAAAUAGUCCCAGCUGCAGCCUUGGGGCUGGGCCCUCUCCUCCCCCAUCCCCGAGCCGCGCCCUCGGAGGCCUGUGCGUAAUUCUAGCCAGCCUGCAAAUGUCAUUUCUAGGAUUGUCCCAGCUGGUUACUCAUAUGUCAGAUCCCACUCUCCUGUGCUUCACGCAGCGGCUGCAUUUCCAUAGAAAGGUGAGUCACACCAGGGCUGGAAAGCAGGGAGGGCGCCAUCAACCGGAAGAAGGAGGUGGGGACGGAGCCUUUUAUAGCUCUCUGGGCGGCCUCUCCAUAGGUUAGUGUUCUCUUAACAACCAAGAUAAGGAUGGCCCUUUUAUGAGAAAUCUAUUUCAGUACAAGGGAUUAUACGAACUUCUUUUUUUAAAGCCAAAGGCAUUUCUUUUGUGGUUCUCAACUUAUAAAUAAAAUCUAUUAACAGUUGUUUAGUGGGCAUUUACAGUGCUGACUGCCGUGACUGUUUCUAGCACAUUCCCUG
Long non-coding RNA from Microcebus murinus (gray mouse lemur), 2454 nucleotides. RefSeq lists it as uncharacterized. NCBI's taxonomy places the organism in Eukaryota, Metazoa, Chordata, Mammalia, Primates, Cheirogaleidae. The record is from RefSeq and is a predicted model, not a curated record.